This 357-nucleotide ribosomal RNA is filed under the name Escherichia coli. RNAcentral's name for it is "bacterial SSU rRNA". It matches the Rfam family "Bacterial small subunit ribosomal RNA", at positions 1 to 352 of the family's 1533-position model. Lineage: Bacteria; Pseudomonadati; Pseudomonadota; Gammaproteobacteria; Enterobacterales; Enterobacteriaceae. The record is from RNAcentral.
UUAAAUUGAAGAGUUUGAUCAUGGCUCAGAUUGAACGCUGGCGGCAGGCCUAACACAUGCAAGUCGAACGGUAACAGGAAGAAGCUUGCUUCUUUGCUGACGAGUGGCGGACGGGUGAGUAAUGUCUGGGAAACUGCCUGAUGGAGGGGGAUAACUACUGGAAACGGUAGCUAAUACCGCAUAACGUCGCAAGACCAAAGAGGGGGACCUUCGGGCCUCUUGCCAUCGGAUGUGCCCAGAUGGGAUUAGCUUGUUGGUGGGGUAACGGCUCACCAAGGCGACGAUCCCUAGCUGGUCUGAGAGGAUGACCAGCCACACUGGAACUGAGACACGGUCCAGACUCCUACGGGAGGCAGC